This 254-nucleotide ribosomal RNA is filed under the name uncultured bacterium. RNAcentral describes it as "partial 16S ribosomal RNA". It matches the Rfam family "Bacterial small subunit ribosomal RNA", at positions 524 to 776 of the family's 1533-position model. The record is from RNAcentral.
UACGGGGGGAGCAAGCGUUGUUCGGAUUUACUGGGCGUAAAGGGCGCGUAGGCGGCCACUGCAAGUCGGUUGUGAAAUCUCCGGGCUUAACCCGGAAAGGUCAAUCGAUACUGCAGGGCUAGAGUGCAGAAGGGGCAACUGGAAUUCUCGGUGUAGCGGUGAAAUGCGUAGAUAUCUGGAGGAACACCGCUGGCGAAGGCGAGCUUCUGGGCUGUCUCUGACGCUGAUGCGCGAAAGCUGGGGGAGCAAACAGG